RNAcentral lists this ribosomal RNA (404 nucleotides) under uncultured bacterium. Its description in RNAcentral is "bacterial SSU rRNA". It matches the Rfam family "Bacterial small subunit ribosomal RNA", at positions 29 to 429 of the family's 1533-position model. The record is from RNAcentral.
AACGAACGCUGGCGGCGUGGUUUAGGCAUGCAAGUCGAGCGAGAAAGUCCUUCGGACGAGUACAGCGGCGAAAGGGUGAGUAAUAUAUAGGUAACCUACCUCUUGGACUCGGAUAAUUCCUGGAAACGGGUUGUAAUACGAGAUCGUCCUAUUGGGUCGCAUGGCCCGACUGGUAAAUGGUAGCUCUGCUUCUGCCGAGAGAGGGGCCUAUAUCCUAUUAGCUAGUUGGUGAGGUAAUGGCUCACCAAGGCUUUGAUGGGUAGCCGGACUGAGAGGUUGGCCGGUCACACUGGGACUGAGACACUGCCCAGACUCCUACGGGAGGCUGCAGUCGAGAAUCUUCCGCAAUGGGCGAAAGCCUGACGGGGGCGACGCCGCGUGAACGAAGAAGGCCUCGGUGUAAG